Molecule: ribosomal RNA, 977 nt
Filed under: Philophthalmus lacrymosus
Lineage: Eukaryota; Metazoa; Platyhelminthes; Trematoda; Plagiorchiida; Philophthalmidae
Description: partial 28S ribosomal RNA
Rfam family: Eukaryotic large subunit ribosomal RNA
Source: RNAcentral
UCCGAUAGCGAACAAGUACCGUGAGGGAAAGUUGAAAAGUACUUUGAAGAGAGAGUAAACAGUACGUGAAACCGCUCAGAGGUAAACGGGUGGAGUUGAACUGCAAGCUCUGAGGAUUAAGCUGGUGAGUAUGGCAUGAGCUGGGUCAUGUUGGUUGUGAGUCUGGGUCUGCUUAGCUGCAGGUUCUCGCCUUCUGGUGGGAAUGCGCGUUGCACUUGUCAAGUGUUGUGCGCUCAGUCUCCUUCGAACCUGCUCGCCAGUGCACUUUCUCAGAGUGUUCACCACGACCGACGUCGCCGCCUGGCUGUUGCAGUUAAACCGGCCAUGUAGGAUCUUUGUGAUCUUGCGCGGUUCGGGAUGGCAGGUAACCUGUUGUGUACUUUUGUGCCUUCAGGUGUAAUAGCUGACUGCAUCGGUCCUGUGCGGUACGUCGGAGACGGCGGCUUGUUGUGUGUGCAGGCGUGCUGUUGUGCUGACAGCUUCGAGUCUGGUUGCCUUGUUGCUUGUGAACGCAGGCCGGGUGAUGGCUUGUUGCUGUUCAGUGCACGGUUGCGUUUGUGACACUAUGACAGGGCCAACAGUCUGUGGUGUAGUGGUAGACUAUCCACCUGACCCGUCUUGAAACACGGACCAAGGAGAGUAACAUGUGCGCGAGUCAUUGGGCGUUACGAAACCCAAAGGCGCAGUGAAAGUAAAGGUUCGGCUUGUCCGAGCUGAGGUGAGAUCCUGUCGUUUCUCACGCGCGGUACUACCAAGCAUCGAGCGGCAGGCGCAUCACCGGCCCGUCCCAUGGCGUGGCAGCCUCGUGCCAGCCUAUCGCCGGGGCGGAGCAUGAGCGUACAUGUUGAGACCCGAAAGAUGGUGAACUAUGCUUGCGCAGGUUGAAGCCAGAGGAAACUCUGGUGGAGGACCGCAGCGAUUCUGACGUGCAAAUCGAUCGUCAAACGUGAGUAUAGGGGCGAAAGACUAAUCGAACC